This 508-nucleotide ribosomal RNA is filed under the name uncultured bacterium. RNAcentral's name for it is "partial 16S ribosomal RNA". It matches the Rfam family "Bacterial small subunit ribosomal RNA", at positions 28 to 523 of the family's 1533-position model. The record is from RNAcentral.
GAUGAACGCUAGCUACAGGCUUAACACAUGCAAGUCGAGGGGAAACGACAUUGGAAGCUUGCUUCCGAUGGGCGUCGACCGGCGCACGGGUGAGUAACGCGUAUCCAACCUGCCCAUCACUUGGGGAUAACCUUGCGAAAGUAAGACUAAUACCCAAUGAUAUCUCUAGAAGACAUCUGAAAGGGAUUAAAGAUUUAUCGGUGAUGGAUGGGGAUGCGUCUGAUUAGCUUGUUGGCGGGGUAACGGCCCACCAAGGCGACGAUCAGUAGGGGUUCUGAGAGGAAGGUCCCCCACAUUGGAACUGAGACACGGUCCAAACUCCUACGGGAGGCAGCAGUGAGGAAUAUUGGUCAAUGGGCGAGGGCCUGAACCAGCCAAGUAGCGUGCAGGAUGACGGCCCUAUGGGUUGUAAACUGCUUUUAUAAGGGAAUAAAGUGAGUCUCGUGAGACUUUUUGCAUGUACCUUAUGAAUAAGGACCGGCUAAUUCCGUGCCAGCCGCCGCAGUAA